Molecule: ribosomal RNA, 440 nt
Filed under: uncultured bacterium
Lineage: Bacteria
Description: bacterial SSU rRNA
Rfam family: Bacterial small subunit ribosomal RNA
Source: RNAcentral
GACGAACGCUGGCGGCAGGCCUAACACAUGCAAGUCGAACGCUCCGCAAGGAGAGUGGCAGACGGGUGAGUAACACGUGGGAAUCUUCCUGUUGGUUCGGAAUAGCUCAGGGAAACUUGGGGUAAUACCGGAUAAGCCCGAGAGGGGAAAGAUUUAUCGCCGACAGAUGAGCCCGCGUCUGAUUAGCUAGUUGGUGAGGUAAUGGCUCACCAAGGCGACGAUCAGUAGCNGGUCUGAGAGGAUGACCAGCCACACUGGGACUGAGACACGGCCCAGACUCCUACGGGAGGCAGCAGUGGGGAAUAUUGGACAAUGGGCGAAAGACCUGAUCCAGCCAUGCCGCGUGAGUGAAGAAGGCCUUAGGGUUGUAAAGCUCUUUCAGGCGGGGAAGNUAAAUGACGGUACCCGCAGAAGAAAGCCCCCGGCUAACUUCGUGCCAG